RNAcentral lists this unclassified non-coding RNA (25 nucleotides) under Mus musculus (house mouse). RNAcentral describes it as "oocyte_clustered_small_RNA8692". Lineage: Eukaryota; Metazoa; Chordata; Mammalia; Rodentia; Muridae. The record is from RNAcentral.
UGCUGGUCGAGAGAGGACACGACAA